RNAcentral lists this ribosomal RNA (936 nucleotides) under Triticum aestivum (bread wheat). RNAcentral describes it as "partial small subunit ribosomal RNA". The record is from RNAcentral. Lineage: Eukaryota; Viridiplantae; Streptophyta; Magnoliopsida; Poales; Poaceae.
AUGGAAAAGAAGGAUGCUAAAACUAGACUUAUUAGAUGGGUUUUCUUGCUACAAGAAUUUGAUUUGCAUAUUAUUGAUAGAAAGGGAGCUGAGAACCCCGUUGCAGACAACUUGUUUAGGUUAGAAAAUGUUCUUGAUGACUCACUAUCUAUUGAUGAUAGCUUUCCUGAUGAACAAUUAGCUGUCAUAAAUGCUUCUCGUAUUGCUCCAUGGUAUGCUCAUUACAUUGUUGCUAAAUUUAUACCACCUAGUUUCACAUACCAGCAAAAGAAAAAAAAAUUCUAUAAUUUAAGAGAUUACUUCUGGGAUGACCCAUACCUUUAUAAAGGAGUAGAUGGUGUUAUUAGACGUUGUGUACCUGAGCAUGAACAUGAACAGAUCCUACGCAAGUGUCACUCCGAGACUUAUGGAGGACACCAUGCUGGAGAUAGAACUGCACAUAAGGUAUUGCAAUCCGGUUUUUAUUGGCCUACUCUCUUUAAGGAUGCCCGUAAUUUUAUCUUAUCUUGUGAUGAAUGUCAAAGAAUUGGUAAUAUUAGUAGACGUCAAGAAAUGCCUAUGAAUUACUCACUUCUUAUUGAACCAUUUGAUGUUUGUGGCUUUGAUUAUAUGAGAUUGUUUCCUUCCUCUAAUGGCUAUACACAUAUUUUAGUUGAUGUUGGUUACGUUACUAAGUGGGUAGAAGCUAUUCCAACUAGUAGUGUUGAUCAUAACACCUCUAUUAAGAUGCUUAAAGACGUUAUUUUUCCGAGGUUUGGAGUCCCUAGAUACUUAAUGAUUGAUGGUGGUUCUCAUAUUAUUCAUGGUGUUUUUCGUAAACUGCUUGCUAAGUAUGAUGUUAAUCAUAGAAUUGCAUCUCCAUAUCAUCCACAAUCUAGUGAUCAAGUAGAACUGAGUAAUAGAGAGCUUAAAUUAAUUUUGCAAAAGACUUUAUAG